GUACUUUUAGUAAGCAAUAAAGAAAUACUUUUUAUUUGCCAAAUACAGCUAUUAAAAUAUUAGAAACCACUACUAAAAGUGAUUGCGAUGGGUAUAUUAAACCUGUUGGAAAGGCUUUCUGUGCGAUUGGCGCGAGGUGUAACUAUCAAGGAUUAAAUAUUUGGGACGUGGGACAAGAGCAGUGCAGACGUACGGAAAAGGGUUUGCCUGCAUUUUUGAAAAUCAGGGUCGGAAAAUGUCCUUUGAAUAAACCAGCUUGCGCGAAAACUACAUAAAUGUAAGGAUACAAAAUGAUUUGAUACCUCGAAGAAUUUUAAACUAUUUUUCAAUAAAAUAAUUAUUUGUUUCUUUA
Molecule: long non-coding RNA, 352 nt
Organism: Drosophila biarmipes
Lineage: Eukaryota; Metazoa; Arthropoda; Insecta; Diptera; Drosophilidae
Exons: 2
Source: RefSeq, a predicted model, not a curated record